This is a long non-coding RNA of Zalophus californianus (California sea lion), 483 nucleotides long. RefSeq lists it as uncharacterized. Lineage: Eukaryota; Metazoa; Chordata; Mammalia; Carnivora; Otariidae. The record is from RefSeq and is a predicted model, not a curated record. The transcript is spliced from 3 exons.
GCACCCCAUGAAGUGAGGACUAAUUAUUAGCCUACUUUGCUGAAGAAGGGAUGAGGCUUAGAGACAUUAAACAACAUGCUAGUAAGGGACAGAAGUAGAGUGAGCAACAUUAGCAAGAAGAAAUCAUCGGGCAUCUAUCAUGACUUGGGGUCCUGUGCUGGUUGCUGACUACGGAUGUUUAGUUAUCCCCAAAGUGUGAUAAUUGCUUUAAGUACAGGUUGCCCCCGCUAUCCGAAAGUAGAAUGCUUCUGUGAAACUCUUCGUGAGCCAGUGUUGUAAACUGAGGAGGUACCAUCUUUAUGCUGUUGACUCUCAAACCUAUCUGGAGCCAAGAUCUUACAGCCCUGGAGGCCGAGCUGUUCACUGGCUGCCUUCACAUGAAUGAGCACGGAGAAUUAUAACGCUACAAGUCCAAGCUCUUCCCUGGUGUCCUUCUACCCACACUGGCCCUCGUGUUCCUGCUCAGCGAACACCCCUUCCCUC